UACGUAGGGGGCGAGCGUUGUCCGGAAUCAUUGGGCGUAAAGCGCGUGUAGGCGGUUCGGUAAGUCUGCUGUGAAAGUCCAGGGCUCAACCCUGGGAUGCCGGUGGAUACUGCUGAACUAGAGUGCGGAAGAGGCGAGUGGAAUUCCCGGUGUAGCGGUGAAAUGCGCAGAUAUCGGGAGGAACACCGGUGGCGAAGGCGGUUCUCUGGGCCUUACCUGACGCUGAGGAGCGAAAGCGUGGGGAGCGAACAGG
Molecule: ribosomal RNA, 253 nt
Filed under: uncultured bacterium
Lineage: Bacteria
Description: partial 16S ribosomal RNA
Rfam family: Bacterial small subunit ribosomal RNA
Source: RNAcentral